RNAcentral lists this long non-coding RNA (1700 nucleotides) under Equus caballus (horse). RNAcentral's name for it is "lncRNA (ENSECAG00000047467.1)". Lineage: Eukaryota; Metazoa; Chordata; Mammalia; Perissodactyla; Equidae. The record is from RNAcentral.
CAUAGCCAGCUGUUAAUUUUGGCCUGUGCGGCAGGUGGUAACGGUGAGUCGAGCAGGUGGCUCCGGCGUGCUCGGCAGUUGGUUCCGGCAUGUCUGGCAGGUGGUUCCGGUCUGUCAGGUAGAUGUUUCUGGCGUGUCCGACACGUGCUUCCGGCUCGUCUCAGAGGUGGUUCGGGCAUGCGUGGCAGGGGAUUCUGGUGUGUCCGCCAUGUGGUUCUGGUGUACCCGGCAGCUGAUUUUGGCAUGUCCGGCAGGUGUUUCUGGCGAGUCGAGCAGGUGGCUCAGGCAUGCUCGGCAGGUGCUUCCGGCGUCUCCGGCACGUGGUUCUGGUGUGUCUGAGAGCUGGUUCCGGCAUGCCCGGCAGGUGAUUCCGGAGUGUUCGCCAAGUGGUUCUGGCAUAGCCGGCAGUUGAUUUUGCAUGUCCGGCGGUGGUUCCGGCGAGUCGAGCCGGUGGUUCUGGCGUGUCCGGAAGGUUGUUCUAGUCUGUCCAGGAGAUGGUUCCUGCCUGUCCGGCACGUGCUUCGGGCACGUCUGAGAGGUUGUGCUGGCAUGCCCGGCUGGUGAUUCUGGAGUGUCCGCCAAGUGGUUCUGGCAUAGCCGGCAGGUGAUUUUUGCGUGUCCGGUGGGUGGUUCUGUGGAGUGGAUCAGGAACUUCCAGCAUUCUCGGCAGGUGCUUCCGCCGUCUCCGGCACGUGGUUGUGGCACCUCUGAGAGGUGGUUCCAGCAUGCCCGGCAGGUGAUUCCGGAGUGUCCGACAAGUGGUUGUGGCGUAGCCGGGUGGUGAUUCUGGCGUGUCCGGCAGGUCGUUCUGGCGAGUCAAGCAGGUGGUCCCGGCGUGUCCGGCAGGUGGUUCCGGUCUGUCCUGGAGGUGGUUCCGGAGUGUCUGCUGAGUGGUUCUGGCGUAGCCGGCAGGUGAUUUUGGCGUGUCCAGCAGUUGGUUCUGGGGAGUGGAUCAGGUGGUUCCGGCAUACUCGGCAGGUGGUACCGCCGUGUCCGGAACAUGGUUCUGGCAAGUCUGAGAGGUGGUUCCGGCAUGCCCGGCAGGUGAUUCCGGAGUGUUCGCCAAGUGGUUCUGGCGUAGCCGGCAGGUGAUUUUGCAUGUCCGGCAAUUGUUCCGGCGAGUCGAGCCGGUGGUUCCGGCGUGUCCGGCAGGUGGUUCCGGUCUGUCCAGCAGGUGGUUCUGGGGUGUCAGGCACGAGGUUCUGGCACGUCUGAGAGGUUGUGUCGGCAUGCACUUCACGGGAUUCCGGCUUGUCCGCCAAGUGGUUCUGUUGUGGUGGGCAGGUGAUUUUGGCGUGUCCGGCAGGUGGGACCGGUGAGUCAAGCAGGUGGUUCCGGCGAGUGUUUCCUGUGUUUCCGGUCUGUCCGGGAGAUGGCUCUGGCCUGUCCGGCACGUGCUUCUGGAACUUAGGAGAGGUUGUGCUGGCAUGCCCGGCAGGUGAUUCCGGAGUGUCCGACAAGUGGUUGUGGCAUAGGCGGCUGGUGAUUCUGACGUGUCCGGCAGGUGGUUUUGGCGAGUCAAGCAGGUGUUCCCGGCGUGUCCGGCAGGUGGUUCCGGUGUGUCCUGGAGGUGGUUCCGGAGUGUCUGCCGAGUGGUUCUGGCGUAGCCGGCAGGUGAUUUUGGCGUGUCCAGCAGGUGGUUCUGGGGAGUGGAGCAGGUGGUUCCGGCAUACUCGGCAGGUGGUUCCGGCGUGUCCGGA